GUCUACGGCCACACCACCCCGAACGUGCCCGAGCCCGUCUGAUCUCGGAAGCUAAGCAGGGUCAGGCCUGGUUAGUACUUGGAUGGGAGACCACCUAGGAAGACCAGGUGCUGUAGGCG
RNAcentral lists this ribosomal RNA (119 nucleotides) under Pteropus alecto (black flying fox). Lineage: Eukaryota; Metazoa; Chordata; Mammalia; Chiroptera; Pteropodidae. The record is from RNAcentral.